GGUCCAACAGGAGGAGGGGGUAGAUCUCUGACUCGGAUGCUUGAUGUCACAUCCCGUCGGGUUAAUGAGAAACCAGUGACGGUGGAGUUUGAUCCCCGAACAUUUGUGCCUAUUGGGGCACAUGCAACAUCGUUCAAAAGUUACUUGGGCGUGAUGGCAAAAGCAUAUGUCCCUAUUGUCGCUACCUGUUGAGAUGAUGUCCCACAAGUUGACAAAAAUCUACUAUGGCAGGAUAUUUUGGAAAAUUGGAAUAUCCCUAAUGAUGAGAGGAUAAGGAAGAAGAUUUUAUCCCACAUUGUAGUCCGGUGGAGGGACUUCAAGACGAGAAUGACACAUCAAUACGUCUUUGGCUCUAAACAGAACGACACUCCUUGUACAAAAUAUAAAAUAACUGAGGAGGAGUGGGUGCAGUUUAAAGAAUCUAGACUUACUCUUGAGUGGCAGGUGAAAAGGAUAGUCGCCCAGCAGAGGCAGAAGCUUAAUGAUACACCACACGUACUGUCACGUGGUGGUUAUGCGUUAUUAGAGAAAAAGAUGAGAAAACGUCGCGCUGAGGAGUUAGGUCUUGAGUCACCUGAUCUAGCACCUCCACCAGCCAGACAUGAAUUGUGGAAGGCUGCACGGACAAAGUCCAAUGGCCAGUUUACAUCCCAGUCUGCUCAGGAGAUAUCCUAGAGAAUUCCACAGGUAGGCUAGAACGUCCAGGUUGUGUGCGUGGUGUUGGAGGAGCUAUUGGAUUGACGGACUACUUUGGCCCUAAACCAAGAAGCACAAAAGCCAUGACUCAAGAAAAGGUUAGUAGCAUCAGGCAACAGGUGCAAGUCGAAUUAGAGGAAAGCAUAGGUGAACGCUUCAGAAUGCUCGAAGAAAAACUUGCGAUGAUCACCCAACAACAGCAACAACAACAACAACAAAAACAGUAAUAACAACAGCAAUAGCAACAACAACAAUAAGAGCAACAACAACAGUCACAGCAGGAGGACGCCCCUACAGAUAAUCCUACUACACCUCAUGUGAGCACUAAAGGCUCAUGCUCUACUGCAGAUCGUAUUGAUUACAAUAUUCAAUAUGAGUUCUUGGUUGAUGAGGAUCCUCCGCGUGUAGUGGUUGUGGGACAACAGAUUGCAGGAGGCCAGACCAUUCAUGGUGCUCCUUUAUUGCCCACUCACGCGUGGGUAAUGAUUGAUGAUCCAAGAGACCCCCAGGCUUGAGUUCCAUUGCCUACAUCUGAAAUCCAAUUCGUAGGGGAGGCCUUAGGCACAUUUAUAGCUUGGCCUAAGGCUAUGAUCAUGCCAUAUUUUGGCCCACCAGCGGUCUACCGUCCUGAGAAACAACCAAUUGCUCAACCUGUGAACGAGGCUCGUGAGGAAGCAGAAGACCAUGAUGCUAUAUUCAUUUUGACCUCCAGAUUAAAUAAGUUGAGAAAAGGACCGUAGAGAUGUUGUGGGAGUUAAGAACAUUUGGCCUCGAGUGCCAUGUUCCAUUGUAUAUUAAUUUUGAUGAUGCUUAUGAGAUCAUUGGUGGAGAAAAAAUGCUCAACAUUUCAUGCAUACAACUAUGGUGCUUGUACAUGAACACCAUCGUAGGUGAAUCAGGUCGAGCGUCAGUUUAUGGCUUUCUUUAACCUCAGACCAUUCAACCAUCUGGAAACUCAUUAGAUUUCAAAAACUCAUAUGUUCAAACAUGGAUGACUAAGUCUAACAGAGAGAUAUAUAUCGCGCCAUACAUUGAUGCGUAUGUGUUUCCCAAUAUUCUCAACUUUUAUCAAAUUUUAAUCAAUAAACUAACUCACUAGUUGUUGGUACAUGACAAGGGCCAUUGGCAACUCAUGGUGAUCAUUCCAAAAAACGCACAAGUUGUAUGGUUUCUCUUCAUAGGAAGAUUAAAGCGGAGUUGAAGUCCGUGAUACAAAUAGUUGUGACUAGGACCAGAGGACAACAACUUGAAAUUAUAUAUCCUAAGUGUAAUAAGUAGAAUGAUUCUUGGGCAUGUGGCUACUACAUCAUGUCAUGGAUGAAGGCAAUCAUCCGAGCAGAAAUUAGAGGGGAAUGGACUGAGCGGUUCAACACUACCUCUCCAUUUCCACUUCAGUAAUAACGACGAUAAGAGAGGAUUGGGCACGAUAUUUGAAUAAACAUUUUAAAUAGCUAUAACUUUAGGUUUUUCCUUUCAUGAUAGUAGCAUUUGCUUACUUGUGCAGCUU
Molecule: long non-coding RNA, 2203 nt
Organism: Vigna angularis (adzuki bean)
Lineage: Eukaryota; Viridiplantae; Streptophyta; Magnoliopsida; Fabales; Fabaceae
Exons: 9
Source: RefSeq, a predicted model, not a curated record